AACGAACGCUGGCGGCAUGCCUAACACAUGCAAGUCGAACGAGACCUUCGGGUCUAGUGGCGCACGGGUGCGUAACGCGUGGGAACCUGCCCUUAGGUUCGGAAUAACUCCCCGAAAGGGGUGCUAAUACCGGAUAAUGUCUUCGGACCAAAGAUUUAUCGCCUUUGGAUGGGCCCGCGUUGGAUUAGCUAGUUGGUAGGGUAAAAGCCUACCAAGGCGACGAUCCAUAGCUGGUCUGAGAGGAUGAUCAGCCACACUUGGACUGAGACACGGCCCAGACUCUUACGGAAGGCAGCAGUGGGGAAUAUUGGACUAUGGGCGAAAUCCUGAUCCAGCAAUGCCGCGUGAGUGAUGAAGGCCUUAGGGUUGUAAAGCUCUUUUACCCGGGAUGAUAAUGACAGUACCGGGAGAAUAAGCACCGGCUAACUCCGUG
Molecule: ribosomal RNA, 433 nt
Filed under: uncultured bacterium
Lineage: Bacteria
Description: partial 16S ribosomal RNA
Rfam family: Bacterial small subunit ribosomal RNA
Source: RNAcentral